Molecule: ribosomal RNA, 450 nt
Filed under: uncultured bacterium
Lineage: Bacteria
Description: bacterial SSU rRNA
Rfam family: Bacterial small subunit ribosomal RNA
Source: RNAcentral
GUGGGGAAUAUUGGACAAUGGGCGAAAGCCUGAUCCAGCCAUGCCGCGUGUGUGAAGAAGGCUUUCGGGUUGUAAAGCACUUUCAGCGAGGAAGAAAGCCUCUGGGUUAAUACCCCAGAGGAAGGACAUCACUCGCAGAAGAAGCACCGGCUAACUCCGUGCCAGCAGCCGCGGUAAUACGGAGGGUGCGAGCGUUAAUCGGAAUUACUGGGCGUAAAGCGCGCGUAGGUGGCUUGGCACGCCGGUUGUGAAAGCCCCGGGCUCAACCUGGGAACGGCAUCCGGAACGGCCAGGCUAGAGUGCAGGAGAGGAAGGUAGAAUUCCCGGUGUAGCGGUGAAAUGCGUAGAGAUCGGGAGGAAUACCAGUGGCGAAGGCGGCCUUCUGGCCUGACACUGACACUGAGGUGCGAAAGCGUGGGUAGCAAACAGGAUUAGAAACCCGUGUAGUCC